Long non-coding RNA from Ahaetulla prasina, 6799 nucleotides. RefSeq lists it as uncharacterized. Lineage: Eukaryota; Metazoa; Chordata; Lepidosauria; Squamata; Colubridae. The transcript has 4 exons. The record is from RefSeq and is a predicted model, not a curated record.
AAGUAGCAGUUAGCAAUGAUGCUUGGGUUUUUUUAUGCUGUUUUAUUUUAUUAUUAUUUUAGUUUUUCCUUCCUUUGGCAAGUCUUCUUUUUCUUUGGCAAGAUAUCCAAGCCUCUGUACUGACCCAUAAAUACAUUGAGGGCAAUUCUUUAGAGGCAUGGGGAGGACCAAGCUGGCACGCCUUUUUCCUGGAAGCUACCAGCAGGUGUUCAACAAUCCGAUGAAAAGCUUGUUAUCUGUAGCUAUUUUUGGAAUGAUAGGAGGAUGUUGCCUUUUAAGCAAAGUGCCUAAAUUAUUCUUUGCUUAGAGAUGGACAUUUGGUCUUUCUCAACAUCCUGGACUACAAAUCCCAACACUGCUUAACAGCAUGUUCAAUGAGAAAGGACUAGGGGUUUCAUCUGGAAAUGGUGAGAAACUGCAGUUGAUUUUUGCAGUUGCAGGUUCCCUUGUGUCAGGAAAUACUCUAGGACACACAGGGUGCAACUCGUUUUACUGAGGCAGAGCUUAAAUAGGUAUGCUAAUUUAGGAUUGAAAAUAUAUCCAGAAUAAUUUUCAAAAGACUUGAGACCAUUCUCUUCCUCUAGGAUUUGCCAAAGGACUAUCUUUUGGUCAGAUCAGAUGGAGGUCUUUUUUUUUUUUAGUCUGGGACUUAUUUAUUGCUGAAGAUAAAAGAAUACACUCCUAUCCCAUCUCUAAGAAAGGCAAUUUCUGGAAUAACUACCGGUAUAUCAUUAGGCUGCAAAAAUGCAGAUGCUCUCAAGAUAGCAACAAAGGGAAUGAAGUCAGAACUAAAGAAGCUUCUUGGAUGAGAAGCAAAACAUCUUCAAAGAACAACCAGAAAGUCCAGUUGCCUCUUGGAAAAGCACCUUUGGGACAAACAUGACCUGGAUGACUGAUGAUCUCCAGACAUUUAGCAAAGCUCUUUGCUUUCUAGAGACAAUUACCUUAUCCCAUUUUUACUGCAGAUAAGUUUAUCUCUGUGAGAUUUAAAAGUAACCAUCACAGUAAUCUAUGUGGUGGUUGCUAGGAACUGAAAACAGCCUGAUGGCACAUAAUCCAUCACAGGAACCAGGACUUUGAUAUUAUCAAUUGAAUAGGUCAUCCACUUUGUUCUUGAUUACACAAUCAACUCUUCCUGGUUCACCAUAUUUUACAUUUUUUGACCAACACAAAGUACUCCACAUUUAUAUUACCAUAAACAACCUCACUUUCAACUGGAAUGAAUUGAAGGAUGAAGAAAUUCAUCAGCAGUCAAGAAUUCAAUCAUGGUCCUCAACAUUCCAUCCAUCAGCUCCCAGAGUCGUGAUUAAACUUGGCAACCAGUCUGGACUUCCAACCUUUGCAACAUCCUGAAAUGGUUCUGUGGAAACCAAGAGGUCCUCUUGUAUCCAUGCAUACCUGAGAUUUCUCACAGGCACGAUACAGUCCAAUCCAAUGUGAUUGUCACGUGCUCAUCCCAAGAGGAGGCUAAAGCCUCAGUCAAGCCAUGCAACAGGGCAUGGGAACAACUCCAAGCUAAUUCUGAAACCCAUUUGGCUCAUCAGGAAUCUGGGGUUGACUGAUCAAAUAAGCCUUUCCUCCUUGAGGCAGGAGCAACCACAGAGAAUAUCAAGGUUAACAGAGAAUUGUCUGUCCAUGAUAAGGAACCAAUGGUAACAUUCCCAACUCCCAAUCACAGCACCACUAACUAAGACAAAACCCAGAACUAUUGUGUGACCCCCACUGUCAAUAACCUGCAUCAGUUUGAUGGCUGCUGUAGUAGCCAUGAUCAUGGUAGAAUGUGGAUAUUCAUUAAGAUGAAGAGACGAAUCAAAAUUCUCAUUCUGAAAACCAUUUAUGAGAAACAAGAAAUUAUUUUAAGGGAUGAGUUCAGAAAAAGAAUGAUUCAGAACAAGGGGCUGUAUGAUAAUAAUGCAAGCAAAUGUAUAAUAAUGGCACAACUGGAAAAGACAGCAAAUUUUCAAGACAUUAACAGUUUUAGAUAUGCAGAUAAUACCAUAUUAUUGGUUGAUAAUAAAAAAGAGUUAGAAGAGUGCAUCAUGAUUGUAAAAAACAGAAAGUGACAAAUGUUAAAUAUUAAAGAAAAAUAAUGGCAGGCAGUAUGCUUACUGAAUUUACAGUAAGUUCCUGGCAAAGCAGUAUUUGGAGGGGGUUUGAACAGAGACACUACUCGGGUAUAAUCCUAUUUAGGUCUUCGGCCACUCUUGUAUUCUAGGGUGCAAUUUAUUUAUUUAUUUAUUUAUAAUUUAAUUUCUAUACCGCCCUUCUCCCGAAGGACUCAGGGCGGUUUACAGCCAUAUUAAAAUACAAAUAUAAAUAACAAUUUUAAAAACCAAUUAAAACCAAAUAUUUAAUGGCCAAAUCAACUAAAACGGUCAAAGACCAAUUUAAAACCCAUUUAAAAUUACAAUAAAAUAUUUGUUAGGCUAGUCCCGCGCAAUGAAAUAGUAGAGUCUUCAGUUCACGUUUGAAGGCCCGGAGGUCAGGGAGUUGGCGUAACCCCGGAGGCAGCUCGUUCCAUAGGGUCGGUGCUGCCACAGAGAAGGCCCUCCCCCUGGGGGCCGCCAACCGACAUUGUUUGGUUAAGCCCCAACAGCACUGUUCAUUAUAUCCUCAAGAAAAAACUCCAAGCACCCUCUGGAAAUCAGAAGGAUCCAUAACAUGCCUAAAGUAGACUGAUCUACAAGGUCAGUGCUACCUGUGGAUAUUCAUUGCACUGAUCAAGGGAGCCAGAAAGUGCUCUUGCCAUAGCAAGAUCCAAUAACUCAAGAGUAUAAUCCAAUUGCAAUAGGUGGCCCUAUAUGUGAUUGAGGCCCAAUUACCUUGGGCAUGCUCACGGUAGUCAUAGUGGUUAUGAACUCAAGCUGAUUGUUUCCCACCCACCCCCCAGCUUUGAGAAGUUAGAUGAAAGUCCUCCAGUACUAUUGGGAUACUCGGCUGCAGAUCCUAGGCAAAGGCCAGGACUCAGAUAGGGAGUGAUAGUGGAUAGUGGAUAGUACAACAGCAGCCCCAACUUGUCACUCCAUGAGCUGCUGCAAAAAAAAUUAUGAUGAUUCAAUAUUAUAGGAGGCAUAUGUUUAAAACUGUGAAAAGACUGGCAUCAGUUUACUUACCAGAUGCUUGUUUCCUGGCCGAUUUAACAUAUAGGUCUGUAGUCAGUUAUAACCACAUUGCUGUAUUCUUUUCAGACAUGUGAUUUCUCUAAAAGUAUGGUUUUCUCCUGAAGAAAAAUGUGUAUGUUUAUAGAUCAUUAUGCUUAUGCCAAUUCUGUAUUUCUUCUCUAUUUGUCAUACUAUCUGGGUUGAGUCACUUUUAAUGCACUUUGAACCCUUGCGCCCGUUUAGUUUUGUAAGCAGAGAGCUUUGUUCUGACACUGUAUUUUCCAGUGCCCCUUGUUUAUCAGACCCAAGAAGCUGUAUUUAAAUCACCAAACCCAUGCAAACACUUCCUGAUUGAUAACCUAUGUCCUUCUACAGAUACUGCUCGACUAACCAGCAGCCACUUAGUGACCAUUCAAAGUUAUGAUGGACCUCCAGAGAUCUACUUACAACCUGGUUUUCAAAUUCUGAAGGCUCUCCACUCUCACGUAAUCAUGUUUUGGUCAUUCGGUAACCAGCCCACAUUUACAGCCAUUGCAAGUGUCCCACCGUCAUGUGACCAGAAUUUAUAUUUUUUUUGCCAAAAAUCAAUAUUUUACUUCUGGUUUCUGGCAAAAAUAGCAGAAUAACAGAAUAAUAGAAUGACAAGAGUUAGAAGGACCUUGAAGGUCUUUUAAUCCAAACCCUUGCUCAGGCAGGAAGCCCUAUACAAUUUCAGACAAAUGGUUGUCCAAUCUAGCCAUUAUAGGUACAAUGGAUUUCCAAUGUAUUUUUUGCCAGAAAUGAGAAAAAAUGGAUCUGUUUAAUGACCACAAUGUUCAGUUAGCAAUCAUCACAAAAGAGUAGAUAAAAUCCACUAUCAUAUGGUGACCUGCUGAACAACUGGUUACACGUCAAUAACUUCCUGGAUAACGAAUAUUUUGAACAUAUUUUGCCAAAAAUAUAUAUAUAUAACCAUUAGCUGGCAGGAAAGAAUUUGAGCUGAAAGGGUCAAAGUUUAAAUCAUGAAUUAACCUACUGAAAAAUCACUCUGGUUUUUGGGGGCCAGAAGCAGCACUGCCCCCACAUCCUUAACUACAAAAGGGGUCACACCCUGGGCCAUUAGCAGAGACAUGAGCUCAUUCCCUGAACCUGCAGUACAAGAUGAAUAGAAUUGCAACUGUCAAUGAAUGAUCCUACAAGUGCACAGGUGGCAGCUAGGAACAGACUAAAACCAGAAAAAGAUGACAUGCCAGUUCUUUUCUAGAAGGGUCAUACUUAGCUUUUCAUUAUUUCAUCUCUUCUAUAUGAUUUUAAGAUAUCGAAAUGGAGCCCUAAUUUUAUGCCUAACGUAAUUAUAUAAAUAUAAUUUAUGCCUAAUCUGGCUUCUUUGCAGAGAUACUGGUGAUUUGAGAAAAAUAAAAAUAUAGAGCCCAAGUUCUUUUUCUCACUGAAUGCUAUGACUAUACUGUAUUAUGUAUUUACCGUGAUAGCUGAUAAAUUAGUUAUAGGCAUAUCAAACUGGAGGCCGGAACUGGCCCACGGGGUGCUUAGAUCUGGCCUGAGGGGCCGCCCUAGAAACAGUGAAGGACUGGCCCGCGGGGCUUUUGCCAGUGGAAACAGAGCUCAUAAGGACUGUGGGCAGCCCUCCUGACCUCCAUUUUCACUGGCAGAGAGUUGCAGGAGGCUGUCACAGCUGAAAACGGAGUUCAGGAGCCCGUUUUCCCUGGCAGAGCACUCACACCACCACAAGCGCCCCAUCAUGUUGAGUUGGCCAUGCCCCCCCUACCCACCCACCCCAGGUCAAACACAACUCUGAUGCAGCCAUCAAUGAAAUCGAAUUUGACACCCCUGACCUAGUACAUGAGUGAAAAAACCCAAAAUAUAGAAAUUACUUUUGAGUUUAUAUUUAUUUUACUAUCUUGAAUGAUUUAGAUAAAGCCACUUCCAUCUAUAGGCCCAGGAGAAUACCUUAAUCCCAAUGUUUUAAAUUUGUAAGGUUUUUUUUAAAAAACCCUCAUUUAUUUAAAAUCAAAAAUCUUCUAGACAGUUGUAGAUUUGGCUCUUCUGUAAAGCAUAAACUGACAGCACCUCACUUCCUCUGCCCCAAAUUAAAUCUAACCAAGAAGAGUUUCUUCAAGGAAAUGGAGGAAACAGAUCCGACUCAGAAUUUCAAUGUGUGAUCAUUAGAGACCAGUUUGGGUUUAUUUAAUGCUAACAUCUGGCUGAAAAAAUUCUGACUCACUUUUUGCUGCCCAGAUAUGGGAGCUUUGGGAUUAUUGGUUGAUUAAUGGGAGGCAUAGCAAACUUUAUCCAGGAAAGAAAAUGGUAAAUUAAAGCCAUAUGUUUUGGAAAGAAGUUGAUUUUUAAAGGCUCCUUCCUAAUCUGGACACCAUGUAGCAGUUGGAAAUAUAUUGCCAAUAUCAACGAUCAUUACUAUUGGUUUUAUUACUGGAUGCUAAAGAUGAGCAGAAGUGAAGCUGUCAGGCUGGCUACCUUGCAGACUUGUUAUGAGAAUGCCAUGUGCUGACUUUAAGAGACACAGCUUCUACAUAAAGAAGAGACUCACUGUUGUCCAGAUCCCACUUUAUUCUGGGAGCGAUUAAGGUGAACAUCUUAUAGGAUUUGUCCAGUGACAUCUAUGUCCCAAGACUUUGCUGGGGGGACCAUCUGAAACCCGGGCCAGUGAAGAGAGGCUCUUAAGGCUUUGUGGGGAAUGGCAAAGGAUCAUGUGGCAAUGUGCAAGUCCACGAUGCAAAGUAGUUGGCAGAGCUAGGAUUUCCUCUUGGUCAUUUGGGUGUAGGGGGGAUGCCUUCGGUUUUGCUUUGGUGGGCUGCUAACAAGAGUUAUUGAAUUGCCAUGAAUUGUGCCAGCAGUACAGUACAAGAACAAUUAUUCUGUUCUGGAAGGAAUAUUCCUUUCAUCUAAUUUAAUGAAAAGAACGAGUAGGGGUGACAUUAUAGCAGUGUUCCAAUAUUUAAGGGGCUGCCACAAAGUAGAGAGGGUCAGUCUAUUCUCCAAAGCACCUGAAGGCAGGACAAGAAGGAACAGAUGGAAACUAAUCAAGGAAAAAACCAAUCUAAAACUAAGGAGAAAUUUCCUGACAGAAUAAUUAAUCAGUGGAACAAUUUGCUUCCAGAAAUUGUGGGUGUUCCAACAUUGGAUGUUUGUCUGAAAUGGUGUAAGGUUUCCUGCCUGAGCCAGGUGUUGGACUAGAAGACCUCCAAGGUCCCUUUGAACUCUGUUAUUCUUUCCCAUCUAAAGUUCCUUCAGCCAGUUCUCCUCUUCAAAUAAUAUCUUUCAUUACUUUAUCCUCUGUUAUCUUGCUCCUCUUCUGUGCCUCCACUCAUUUCUUCCUUGUCCUUCCUUGUCCUGAUUUUAAUUCCCUAUAUCUUAUUUCAAGAAGAGUCUGUGCAUUUGACUUCAUAGAACCACAAGAAAAAAGAAUUACCCACAAUAGAAGAAUGGAUAUUGAAAGUUUCCAAUUUGGCUGAGAUGGCUAAAAUCUCAGCCUUCUUGAAAGACAGCACUCAAGAAAAAUAUCUAAAUGAAUGGAAGAAUUGACUAUAUUCAAAAUAGAUAUCAGAUUAAGAGAUAUCAGAUUGCCUUUGAAUGAAGGAUGUGGUUUUUGAUUUUAAUGGAAGAAGUCAGAGAAGGAUUAUAAUUGGGUUAGAUUUCGAAAAUUUUAUGUAUGAAUGUUUGUUUAUUGAACUAUACCUUGU